Molecule: long non-coding RNA, 318 nt
Organism: Apodemus sylvaticus (European woodmouse)
Lineage: Eukaryota; Metazoa; Chordata; Mammalia; Rodentia; Muridae
Exons: 2
Source: RefSeq, a predicted model, not a curated record
UACAGAGCCAUAUUGGGGCAGUCUUGCACUUGGUCAGAGUUUGACUUUGGUCAAGGUUAACUUCUCCCAGUUAGCCAGGAUCCUGCUCCACCUAGGGUGGAGUGCACGUAGUAAAGGUCAAGUUCAUUGUUCCUCCAGGUAUAGGGAGUCCUGAAUUAAACAGGUGACCCACCCAGCUGCCGGAGCAGUCAAGACGAAGACCUCCAAGAGAAGCUAGACAACUUCCACCGGAACUCAGCCUGGAGUCUGGGGGGAAGGGGUUUGCCCGAACUGUUAAAAGGUCCGGCGCCAUUAAAGUUGACGGCUUUGAUCAGUGAA